AGCGAACGCUGGCGGCAGGCCUAACACAUGCAACUCGAACGAACCCUUCGGGGUUAGUGGCGGACGGGUGAGUAACACGUGGGAACGUGCCUUUAGGUUCGGAAUAACUCAGGGAAACUUGUGCUAAUACCGAAUGUGCCCUUCGGGGGAAAGAUUUAUCGCCUUUAGAGCGGCCCGCGUCUGAUUAGCUAGUUGGUUGAGGUAAUGGCUCACCAAGGCGACGAUCAGUAGCUGGUCUGAGAGGAUGAUCAGCCACAUUGGGACUGAGACACGGCCCAAACUCCUACGGGAGGCAGCAGUAGGGAAUCGUGCGCAAUGAGCGAAAGCCUGACGCAUCCAUGCCGCGUGAAUGAUGCGCUUCUUAGGAUUGUAGAAUUCUUCCAGCUGGGACCAUAUUCACGUUACCCGGACGAGAAGCCCCAGCUAACUUCGUG
Molecule: ribosomal RNA, 434 nt
Filed under: uncultured bacterium
Lineage: Bacteria
Description: partial 16S ribosomal RNA
Rfam family: Bacterial small subunit ribosomal RNA
Source: RNAcentral